CGGGGGGAGCAAGCGUUGUUCGGAUUUACUGGGCGUAAAGGGCGCAUAGGCGGCGUGACAAGUCACUUGUGAAAUCUCCGGGCUUAACCCGGAGCGGCCAAGUGAUACUGUCGUGCUAGAGUGCGGAAGGGGCUACUGGAAUUCUCGGUGUAGCGGUGAAAUGCGUAGAUAUCGAGAGGAACACCUGCGGCGAAGGCGGGUAGCUGGGCCGACACUGACGCUGAUGCGCGAAAGCCAGGGGAGCGAACGGGAUUAGAUACCCCGGUAGUCCUGGCCUUAAACGAUGGAUACUUGGUGUCCGGGGUUACAUAGUCCCCGGGUGCCGGCGCUAACGCAUUAAGUAUCCCGCCUGGGGAGUACGGUCGCAAGACUG
RNAcentral lists this ribosomal RNA (373 nucleotides) under uncultured organism. RNAcentral describes it as "bacterial SSU rRNA". It matches the Rfam family "Bacterial small subunit ribosomal RNA", at positions 526 to 896 of the family's 1533-position model. The record is from RNAcentral.